GGUGACAUGAUGUCAUAAGUCUGCGCCGCUGUCCUGCAUCUGUGAUUCUGCUGAAGAAAGUUUCAUCUAGAGUCAGCGCCGGAGAUCAAACUGUUCAGAUCCAUCAUGGAUGAAACAUCUGGAGAUGAAGAUUUGUUUCCAGGACGCAGCUCGGUUCAUCAGAAGAGAUCAGAAGCAGAGUCCAGCUGUGUGUCUGUGAAGAGUGACUGGUCUAUGAUUGAGCCAAUAAUGUUUAACAGUGGAGAAAAACAGCCUGUUCUUAGGCCACACCCCCUACAUGCACUGUGCAUUCCUCCAUAACAUGGACAGAUCAUUUCUUGAAUCCUGCACACACAAUAUCAAAAUGUCCAUCUUGGUGAGUAUUCAUGUAAAUUACAUAAAUAUUACAAAAAAUGAUGUUUAAAACUUCCUUGUGCUGUGUG
This 422-nucleotide long non-coding RNA is filed under the name Sinocyclocheilus anshuiensis. RNAcentral describes it as "lncRNA (ENSSANG00000039151.1)". The record is from RNAcentral. Lineage: Eukaryota; Metazoa; Chordata; Actinopteri; Cypriniformes; Cyprinidae.